CUGUCUGGAAGAUCCCAUGGAAACACACAUGGUCUUUUUGUUUUUCUUAACAAAAGACAAAGACAAAACAUUCUUGAGCUUUGAUCCGAUUCCAGGGACUCCGGUCUUGGAUUCCUUCAUCACUGUCUUCUAUCUGUUAUUCUCCUUUUUUUAAUAGGCCUUUUAGGUCAACCAUUGGAUUUAUGCGGAGAAAAAACGAUGCUGGAAACAAUCGCUGACUAAGACCAAGUGUUACAGAGCUUGAGAAGAAGGUGUCCAGUGUUGGGUCCCUCCCCGGUGCUGGUUGCCUACCUCAUUGCAGGAGAGAAAGGCAAGGGUCCUGCUUAAAGAUGUGGAGAAAGCCUUGUGAGGAAGCAGCAGGAGUGGCUCAAGUCCUAGGAUGAGGAAACUGAGGCUCAAGGUCACACAGCAGAGAAGUAUCUGAGGCCAGAUUUGAAUUUCUGACUCCAAGCUCAGCACUCUCUCCACUAUGGUGCCGUCUAGUUUCCCCUUCACACACUGAUUUUAGAAAGGCCUGGAAAGAUUUACACCAACUAAUACCGAAUGAAAUAAGGAAAACCUGUGUACAGCAACAGCAAGAUUGUGCAAUGAUCAACUAUGACAGACUUUGUGGUUUUCAAUGGUUCAGUGAUUCAAGGCAAUCCUAAUAAACUUGGGAUGGAAAAUGCCAUCUACAUCGAGAGAGAAUUAUGGAGAUAAUGUAAAUCAAUACAUGCUAUGUUCAAUUUUUUUUCUUUUUCUAUCUUUCUUGGUUUUUCUUCUAAUAUGAUUCAUAAGAAAAUAUCAAAAAUUAAUGUAUAUGUAUAAUCAAAAAAAAUUUUAUAUGUAACUGGGGAAAAUAAAAAAGACACAAAAAUGUUUCCAUGCCAAUUUAUUGAACAAGAUUUUAAUUAUGUUCUGAAAAGGAUGCAUUUAAUAUUUAUUUUUCUGCAAUUAGUUAUAAGGUUUUUAAUGCCUAAAUAUAUGGUCAAUUCUUGUGUAGAUGCCAUGUACCACUGAGAAAAAGAUAUAUUCCUUUUCAUUCCCAUUUAGUUUUCUCCCAAGAUCUAUCAUAUCCAAGCUAUCAUAUUUUCUAAAAUUCUGCCCAUCUCUUUAACUUGUUUUGCUUAUUUUUGGCUAGAUUUAUGUAGUUCUGAAAGGAAAAUGUUGAGGCUUCCAACUAAUAUAGUUUUACUAUAUUUUCUUCUGUAAUUUUUAAUUUUUCCUUUAAGAUUUUGGAUGCUACACCAUUUGAUGCAUACAGGUUUAGUGUUGAUAUUACUUCAUUGCUUAUACCUUUCUAGCAAAAUGUAGUUCCCUGCUUAUCUUUUAAUUAGAUCUAUUUUUGCCUUUGCUUUGUCUGAGAUCUUGAUUGCUUCCCCUUCCUUUUUUAACUUCAGCUGAAGCAUAAUAGAUUCUGCUCCAGCCCCUUAUUUUUACUCUGCAUAUAUGUCUCUGGUUCAAAUAUGUUUCCUACAAAUAAUAUUUUGUCAGAUUUCAGUCUCUAAUCGAUUUCACUAUUCACUUCUAUUUUUUAUGGAUGAGUUCAUGCCAUUCAUAUUCACAGUUACAAAUAAUGUUUUUCCCUCCCUCCUAUUUUUCUCCCUUUUAACCUCUCUCUUCCUCUGUUUUUCAAUGCUGUGGUACAAGGAUAUGUAGCUGAACACUAAGGGAUAUGAUGACAAGGGUGACUCCUUCCUCAUUUGAGGGUGAAAGUGGUGCUGCCUGUGAAAAGAAAGGGAGGUGGUAUGACAUUUUGGGUCAGGAAGACCUGGAUUCAAAUCAAAACUUUGAUAUUUUUAUUCCCUUAUGCAAAUCACAACACUUCUAUCAGUCUCAUUUCCUUAUUUGUUUAAAAAAAAAAAAAAGAAGUAGUAAGACCUCAAAGGUUCCUUCCAGUCCCAAACAAAUGCUGGGAGCUUUUAUCCUUCAUCACGUAUCUACAGGGUUGAGUAGCAAAUAAUACUAAUUUCUAGUUCUGGCUCUCAGUAUUCUUGGGGAGAGAACUCUUUUCAAAAGUGUUUCUCAUUGAUAAAUGAGGAUAAGAAUACACUUGUCAUCUAUCUCACUGAGAGAAAAAGUAGGUUUGUACAUGCAAUGUAAAGGGCUAUAUAGAUGUGAACUAGUUGGAUUAACUCUUGUUAUAUAUGAUUAAACUGAGGGGUGAAGAAAAAGAAUCAUGUAUUUUUGCUUUACUGUCUAAAAUUAUUGAGAUCCAGAAUAACAAGUUAGGAUUAUGAUAGAUUCCAAGUCCACAUAUAUCAUGCAUGAUCAUAUGAUGUCGUAUAUUACAGUGGUCCUCAAAGUGUAGUCCAAAGAAUUGUUGGGGUCUCUGAAACCCUUUCAGAAAGUCUACAAAUUCAAAAUCAUUUUUUAUUUCUAACAUAAUAAAUAACUAUAAAUAUAACCCAUGUGAACAAAAAGUCUUUGAUCAGAUCCUCGAUAGUUUUUGAACAACAUGAAGAUACUGAGAACAAAAGUUUGAGAACCACUGUCGUAUAAUCACAAAGAUCAUAUUUGCUGCCCUCAAAUAGAUAUGUGUGAUAGAGCAUAAAACACCCAAGAAUUUGUCUGAGAAUCAAAUACCUAUAGAACUGAAA
This is a long non-coding RNA of Antechinus flavipes (yellow-footed antechinus), 2579 nucleotides long. RefSeq lists it as uncharacterized. NCBI's taxonomy places the organism in Eukaryota, Metazoa, Chordata, Mammalia, Dasyuromorphia, Dasyuridae. The transcript is spliced from 3 exons. The record is from RefSeq and is a predicted model, not a curated record.